RNAcentral lists this long non-coding RNA (1058 nucleotides) under Homo sapiens (human). RNAcentral describes it as "non-protein coding lnc-GATA3-24:1". Lineage: Eukaryota; Metazoa; Chordata; Mammalia; Primates; Hominidae. The record is from RNAcentral.
UUUGGCUAAAUUCUAUAAUCUCAAAAAUAGUGAUGGAGACAGGGUAUCCCAUAUUUCCAUACAUAAAUUUCACUUCCCUGAUCAGUGAGGGAAAAAGUUAAUUAAUGGGAUAUUCCUGUGAGGUUGCUUGGAGAUAAACUUGUCCAAAUGUUUAUAUAAAACUAAAAUUAUUUAGAUAGGCUCUUAUCUAGAGUCAUGAUUUUAUUUUCUUUCAGGAGAUAUAGAAAUAAGAGCUAGAAUUGCUUAUUGUAGCUAAUUUGUAGCUGAUUUCUGGGUUGAGAAAAAAUUGCAAUAUACUCUGCCUUUCAUUUUCUUACUUGAAUUCUCAUGUUUUUCUGAUAAUUAAUAUCUGGAAAGAAUAAUCAAGUCUUAAUAUUGGAGACAGAAACCUGUGUUCUAAUGGUGAUGUUUUUGUGUCUUUGUUUUUGUUUGUUUAUCCAUAAACUUUCCUGAGCGUUGCAAAUCUAGUUCUAAACAUCUAUAUAUUUUGACAAACAACCCAUAGGUUAUAAACCUGGAAAUAUGUAUGAAAUAAUGUAGCAAUAAAAUAAUUUGACUAGGGUCAAGGGAAUUUUGUUCUAGUCUCAGUUCUGUCUUUACCACUGUGAGAUUCUGAGUGAGUCUCAGUGAUUCUGGUUGUAUUUCCCUGAACAGAAAAUCUUAGUUAGACUGGAAAUUGAAUGAACUUUUAUGAAUGUCUAGCUUUAAAAAUCUAGAACCAACAUAGGAUGGGACUUCUUUAGUUAAUUCAAACAAAUAAAUAAACCCCAAAAGUAUUUGAGAAUAUAGAACUUGUUCAAAUUACUUUUAUGAAUUCUGAAUUUCCCUUUUAAUGUGUGCACACAUAAAUAGUGAGAUUAACCUCUCUUGGUAUUUGUACUCUUUAUAGAAAUACAUAGGAAACGUAUUGUUACUUUAAGUUCUAGGGUACAUGGGCACAAUGUGCAGGUUUGUUACAUAUGUAUACAUGUGCCAUGUUGGUGUGCUGCACCCAUUAACUCGUCAUUUACAUUAGAUAUAUCUCCUAAUGCUAUCCCUCCCCACUCCCCCAACCCCAC